GAUGAACGCUGGCGGCGUGCCUAAUACAUGCAAGUCGAGCGAACGGACGAGAAGCUUGCUUCUCUGAUGUUAGCGGCGGACGGGUGAGUAACACGUGGAUAACCUACCUAUAAGACUGGGAUAACUUCGGGAAACCGGAGCUAAUACCGGAUAAUAUUUUGAACCGCAUGGUUCAAAAGUAAAAGACGGUCUUGCUGUCACUUAUAGAUGGAUCCGCGCUGCAUUAGCUAGUUGGUAAGGUAACGGCUUACCAAGGCAGCGAUGCAUAGCCGACCUGAGAGGGUGAUCGGCCACACUGGAACUGAGACACGGUCCAGACUCCUACGGGAGGCAGCAGUAGGGAAUCUUCCGCAAUGGGCGAAAGCCUGACGGAGCAACGCCGCGUGAGUGAUGAAGGUCUUCGGAUCGUAAAACUCUGUUAUUAGGGAAGAACAUAUGUGUAAGUAACUGUGCACAUCUUGACGGUACCUAAUCAGAAAGCCACGGCUAACUACGUG
Molecule: ribosomal RNA, 497 nt
Filed under: uncultured bacterium
Lineage: Bacteria
Description: partial 16S ribosomal RNA
Rfam family: Bacterial small subunit ribosomal RNA
Source: RNAcentral